UUUUUCUGGAUAGAGAUUGUUCUCCCCUUGAGCUGUUGCUGGAAGGGGUCAUUGGAAGGGAAACAACAACCCUGAUGGAAACUAAUGACUGUAUCUUUUCCAUUUCCCAUGAAAGUAAGAAGUAAGCGGUAAAGCUGUUUUUGUGCACUACUGAUGCAUUACUCUGGUUGUAAAAACUAGCAAGAUUUCAUAAACCAUGAAGAAAGGGGUUUAUGUUGGAGGUGGAUGAAAGAGGCUUCAUCCCACUUAAAAACAAACAAAAAAAUCAGAAGAAGAAAAAAGCAGAAUUCCUCUCUGCAGCUAUAUUUGGUUUUGAAUCUUCUUCAGAUGGCUGCUGUCCAGUCAACUUUGGGAGGAAAACUGCAACGUUUUGAAGAAGAAAAAUAAAAGGUUGAAAGGAUAUAGAGAUGAAGUAGCGAGAGGAAGCUGGUAAUAAAGUUCAGGACACAGUGUUGGUUCUUGACCAACAGUGGGGGAUCAGUGCCCGUGAAGAUGUGCAGACAAGGCAUGUUUCAGACUCCCAGAAGCUGUUUGUUUGCCAUACUGUGAGGAAGCAGGUGUGGGCCAGCACCACUGCAUGCUCCUGUUGCACUAUGAGGACAUGGUUUAGGACCAGACCAAGUUGCCCCAAGAUCAAUUCCUUCCCGUGACUGUCAGGUAUGACCUGACCAUACCUCUCCAUGGGACAGUGCAUAUCUGGACAAAGAAGAAAAAGUUGGUAACACUUAUGAUACAACGCUAAGAUAUGGCAGUGUUGGACACAAGACACUAUGCAGACCAAGGAUGGUGCUCUACAGUGAUACAGGUGCUUUUCUGCCACAUGUACAUUGAAACAAGUCUGACAGCAAUGGGGAGCCCAUAGCUCUUUUUACCCAGCCUGAUAAAUCUCUCAUUAACAUGACAAAAACAAAUGGCAUAUUUCUAUCCUAAAUUAAACUGGCAAGUUUAAAGCCUCUGCAAUAAAGGCCGUUCAUUAUCUUUGGCAGCAAGCUUAAUCCAAAUAUACAUGUAAAACAACAGCUAUUAUGUUACUCUUAUAGACAUCUAAGCUGUCAAUAAGAGUAUCUGUAGUAUCUGUUUUCUCGCUUAUGAAUGCCUGUCAGAUAUGGCAUGAAGUGAAUAUGGCAAAGCAGAGUGCUAAGGUAACUUUUAAUAACGAGUGCCAUGACAAUUAUAGCUGCAAGGGCAGUGCACUGGUUCACUGCCCUUUGAAGACCGGUCCUUGAUUUGACAUUUUGGAGAGUGUGAUCUUUCUUUUCUUACUUCCCUUCCCAAAUGUUUCAUCCCUUGCUUAGCUGUAAGGCAGAGAGAAGCUUUGAAAAUGGGUCUUCCACCAUCUGCUCACUGAAAAACCAAAUAAAGGAA
Molecule: long non-coding RNA, 1365 nt
Filed under: Gallus gallus (chicken)
Lineage: Eukaryota; Metazoa; Chordata; Aves; Galliformes; Phasianidae
Description: lncRNA (ENSGALG00010012537.1)
Source: RNAcentral